Molecule: ribosomal RNA, 459 nt
Filed under: uncultured bacterium
Lineage: Bacteria
Description: partial 16S ribosomal RNA
Rfam family: Bacterial small subunit ribosomal RNA
Source: RNAcentral
CCUACGGGAGGCAGCAGUGAGGAAUAUUGGUCAAUGGGCGGAAGCCUGAACCAGCCAAGUAGCGUGCAGGAUGACGGCCCUACGGGUUGUAAACUGCUUUUAUACGGGAAUAACGCGCCUUACGCGUAGGGCUUUGCAUGUACCGUAUGAAUAACGACCGGCAAAUUCCGUGCCAGCAGCCGCGGUAAUACGGGAGGUCCGGGCGUUAUCCGGAUUUAUUGGGGUUAAGGGGAGCGUGGGCCGCAUGUCAAGCGUGCUGUGAAAUGUCCGGGCUAAACCCGGGCCUUGCAGCGCAAACUGGCGUGCGUGAGUCCGCGGAAAGCAGGCGGAAUUCGUGGUGUAGCGGUGAAAUGCUUAGAUAUGACGAAGAACCCCGAUUGCGAAGGGAGCUUGCUGCCGCGGAACUGACGCUGAUGCUCGAAAGCGCGGGUAUCGAACAGGAUUAGAUACCCCGUAGUC